UGGGGAAUUUUGGACAAUGGGGGAAACCCUGAUCCAGCCAUCCCGCGUGUGCGAUGAAGGCCUUCGGGUUGUAAAGCACUUUUGGCAGGAAAGAAACGUCAUGGGUUAAUACCCCGUGAAACUGACGGUACCUGCAGAAUAAGCACCGGCUAACUACGUGCCAGCAGCCGCGGUAAUACGUAGGGUGCAAGCGUUAAUCGGAAUUACUGGGCGUAAAGCGUGCGCAGGCGGUUCGGAAAGAAAGAUGUGAAAUCCCAGAGCUCGACUUUGGAACUGCAUUUUUAACUACCGGGCUAGAGUGUGUCAGAGGGAGGUGGAAUUCCGCGUGUAGCAGUGAAAUGCGUAGAUAUGCGGAGGAACACCGAUGGCGAAGGCAGCCUCCUGGGAUAACACUGACGCUCAUGCACGAAAGCGUGGGGAGCAAACAGG
RNAcentral lists this ribosomal RNA (429 nucleotides) under Acidobacteriota bacterium. RNAcentral's name for it is "Acidobacteria bacterium partial 16S ribosomal RNA". It matches the Rfam family "Bacterial small subunit ribosomal RNA", at positions 355 to 776 of the family's 1533-position model. The record is from RNAcentral. Lineage: Bacteria; Pseudomonadati; Acidobacteriota.